RNAcentral lists this ribosomal RNA (253 nucleotides) under uncultured bacterium. RNAcentral's name for it is "partial 16S ribosomal RNA". It matches the Rfam family "Bacterial small subunit ribosomal RNA", at positions 524 to 776 of the family's 1533-position model. The record is from RNAcentral.
UACGUAGGUGGCAAGCGUUGUCCGGAAUUAUUGGGCGUAAAGAGCUCGUAGGCGGUUUGUCGCGUCUGCUGUGAAAACUCGGGGCUUAACCCCGGGCCUGCAGUGGGUACGGGCAGACUAGAGUGUGGUAGGGGAGACUGGAAUUCCUGGUGUAGCGGUGAAAUGCGCAGAUAUCAGGAGGAACACCGAUGGCGAAGGCAGGUCUCUGGGCCACUACUGACGCUGAGAAGCGAAAGCAUGGGGAGCGAACAGG